UCAGGACGAACGCUGGCGGCGUGCUUAACACAUGCAAGUCGAACGCUGAAGCUCCCAGCUUGCUGGGGGUGGAUGAGUGGCGAACGGGUGAGUAACACGUGAGUAACCUGCCCCGAACUCUGGGAUAAGCGCUGGAAACGGCGUCUAAUACUGGAUAUGUCCUAUCACCGCAUGGUGUGUAGGUGGAAAGAAUUUCGGUUCGGGAUGGACUCGCGGCCUAUCAGCUAGAUGGUGAGGUAAUGGCUCACCAUGGCGACGACGGGUAGCCGGCCUGAGAGGGUGACCGGCCACACUGGGACUGAGACACGGCCCAGACUCCUACGGGAGGCAGCAGUGGGGAAUAUUGCACAAUGGGCGCAAGCCUGAUGCAGCAACGCCGCGUGAGGGAUGACGGCCUUCGGGUUGUAAACCUCUUUUAGUAGGGAAGAAGCGAAAGUGACGGUACCUGCAGAAAAAGCACCGGCUAACUACGUGCCAGCAGCCGCGGUAAUACGUAGGGUGCAAGCGUUGUCCGGAAUUAUUGGGCGUAAAGAGCUCGUAGGCGGCUUGUCGCGUCUGCUGUGAAAACCAGAGGCUCAACCUCUGGCCUGCAGUGGGUACGGGCAAGCUAGAGUGCGGUAGGGGAGAUUGGAAUUCCUGGUGUAGCGGUGGAAUGCGCAGAUAUCAGGAGGAACACCGAUGGCGAAGGCAGAUCUCUGGGCCGUAACUGACGCUGAGGAGCGAAAGCAUGGGGAGCGAACAGGAUUAGAUACCCUGGUAGUCCAUGCCGUAAACGUUGGGAACUAGAUGUAGGGCCUGUUCCACGGGUUCUGUGUCGUAGCUAACGCAUUAAGUUCCCCGCCUGGGGAGUACGGCCGCAAGGCUAAAACUCAAAGGAAUUGACGGGGGCCCGCACAAGCGGCGGAGCAUGCGGAUUAAUUCGAUGCAACGCGAAGAACCUUACCAAGGCUUGACAUAUACGAGAACACUGUAGAGAUACAGGACUCUU
This 988-nucleotide ribosomal RNA is filed under the name Leucobacter chromiiresistens. RNAcentral's name for it is "bacterial SSU rRNA". It matches the Rfam family "Bacterial small subunit ribosomal RNA", at positions 24 to 1018 of the family's 1533-position model. Lineage: Bacteria; Bacillati; Actinomycetota; Actinomycetes; Micrococcales; Microbacteriaceae. The record is from RNAcentral.